Molecule: long non-coding RNA, 412 nt
Organism: Passer domesticus (house sparrow)
Lineage: Eukaryota; Metazoa; Chordata; Aves; Passeriformes; Passeridae
Exons: 3
Source: RefSeq, a predicted model, not a curated record
CCUGAAAAGAGGCUGUAGCCAGAUGGGCAUUAGUCUCUUCUCCCAGGCAACCAGCUAGAGGACAAGGAGACACAGUCCUCAGGAAAGAUUGAACAUUAGGAAGAAUUUCUUCACUGAAAGGGUGCUCCUUAUUGGACUUGUGGUCCAUCCUUCCCCAGCUUCUCUGGACAAGAUCCAACACCUCAAUAUGCUUCCUGAAUCAAGAGUCCCAAAACUGGAUACAGCACUUGAGCUAAUGAAACUGCAAAGAUGGUCUUCCUAGCAUCUGAACAGAUGCACAUGCAAUGGGAGGACAUCAACAGUCAAGCAAGAAAGUUGAAAAAUGUGCUCUAAAUGUGCCAGACCUUGAACAGUGUCAUAGUGAUUAUGCAGAAAGGUUACUAAAGGAUCCAGUUUGAAAGAAAUGUUUAAA